This 460-nucleotide ribosomal RNA is filed under the name uncultured bacterium. RNAcentral's name for it is "partial 16S ribosomal RNA". It matches the Rfam family "Bacterial small subunit ribosomal RNA", at positions 338 to 795 of the family's 1533-position model. The record is from RNAcentral.
CCUACGGGUGGCAGCAGUGAGGAAUAUUGGGCAAUGGACGAGAGUCUGAACCAGCCAAGUAGCGUGAAGGAUGACAGCCCUACGGGUUGUAAACUUCUUUUAUAUGGGAAUAAAAUGCUCCACGUGUGGGAUUUUGCAUGUACCCUAUGAAUAAGGAUCGGCUAACUCCGUGCCAGCAGCCGCGGUAAUACGGAGGGUCCGAGCGUUAUCCGGAUUUAUUGGGUUUAAAGGGAGCGUAGGUGGGUUGUUAAGUCAGUUGUGAAAGUUUGCGGCUCAACCGUACAAUUGCAGUUGAAACUGGCAGUCUGGAGUACAGUAGAGGUAGGCGGAAUUCGUGGUGUAGCGGUGAAAUGCUUAGAUAUCACGAAGAACUCCGAUUGCGAAGGCAGCUCACUGGACUGCAACUGACGCUGAGGCUCGAAAGUGUGGGUAUCAAACAGGAUUAGAUACCCCAGUAGUC